UACGUAGGGUGCGAGCGUUAAUCGGAAUUACUGGGCGUAAAGCGUGCCCAGGCGGCUUUGCAAGACAGAUGUGAAAUCCCCGGGCUCAACCUGGGAACUGCAUUUGUGACUGCAAGGCUAGAGUACGGCAGAGGGGGAUGGAAUUCCGCGUGUAGCAGUGAAAUGCGUAGAUAUGCGGAGGAACACCAAUGGCGAAGGCAAUCCCCUGGGCCUGUACUGACGCUCAUGCACGAAAGCGUGGGGAGCAAACAGG
Molecule: ribosomal RNA, 253 nt
Filed under: uncultured bacterium
Lineage: Bacteria
Description: partial 16S ribosomal RNA
Rfam family: Bacterial small subunit ribosomal RNA
Source: RNAcentral